Molecule: transfer RNA, 77 nt
Filed under: Hyphomicrobiaceae bacterium
Lineage: Bacteria; Pseudomonadati; Pseudomonadota; Alphaproteobacteria; Hyphomicrobiales; Hyphomicrobiaceae
Description: tRNA-Pro
Rfam family: tRNA
About the family: Transfer RNA (tRNA) molecules are approximately 80 nucleotides in length. Their secondary structure includes four short double-helical elements and three loops (D, anti-codon, and T loops).
Source: RNAcentral
CGGAGCGUAGCGCAGCCUGGUAGCGCACCUGCAUGGGGUGCAGGGGGUCGAAGGUUCAAAUCCUUUCGCUCCGACCA